UACGUAGGGUGCGAGCGUUAAUCGGAAUUACUGGGCGUAAAGCGUGCGCAGGCGGUUCGUCGUGUCCGAUGUGAAAGCCCCGGGCUCAACCUGGGAAUGGCAUUGGAAACUGGCGGACUCGAGUGUGGCAGAGGGGGGUGGAAUUCCGCGUGUAGCAGUGAAAUGCGUAGAGAUGCGGAGGAACACCGAUGGCGAAGGCAGCCCCCGGGGCUAACACUGACGCUCAGGCACGAAAGCGUGGGGAGCAAACAGG
This 253-nucleotide ribosomal RNA is filed under the name uncultured bacterium. RNAcentral describes it as "partial 16S ribosomal RNA". It matches the Rfam family "Bacterial small subunit ribosomal RNA", at positions 524 to 776 of the family's 1533-position model. The record is from RNAcentral.